Molecule: ribosomal RNA, 491 nt
Filed under: uncultured bacterium
Lineage: Bacteria
Description: partial 16S ribosomal RNA
Rfam family: Bacterial small subunit ribosomal RNA
Source: RNAcentral
GAUGAACGCUGGCUACAGGCUUAACACAUGCAAGUCGAGGGGAAACGACGGGGAAGCUUGCUUCCCCGGGCGUCGACCGGCGCACGGGUGAGUAACGCGUAUCCAACCUGCCUCUGACUGAGGGAUAACCCGUCGAAAGUCGGCCUAAUACCUCAUGGUAUCGUCUGCGGGCAUCCAACGACGAUUAAAGAUUUCAUCGGUCAGGGAUGGGGAUGCGUCUGAUUAGCUUGUUGGCGGGGUAACGGCCCACCAAGGCUACGAUCAGUAGGGGUUCUGAGAGGAAGGUCCCCCACAUUGGAACCGAGACACGGUCCAAACUCCUACGGGAGGCAGCAGUGAGGAAUAGUGAUCAAUGGGCGAGAGCCUGAACCAGCCAAGUAGCGUGCAGGAAGACGGCCCUAUGGGUUGUAAACUGCUUUUAUGCGGGGAUAAAGUGAGGGACGUGUCCCUCAUUGCAGGUACCGCAUGAAUAAGGACCGGCUAAUUCCGUG